Molecule: ribosomal RNA, 433 nt
Filed under: uncultured bacterium
Lineage: Bacteria
Description: partial 16S ribosomal RNA
Rfam family: Bacterial small subunit ribosomal RNA
Source: RNAcentral
AACGAACGCUGGCGGCAUGCCUAACACAUGCAAGUCGAACGAAACGUUCGGGUCUAUUUGCGCACGGGGGCGUAACGCGUGGGGAGCUGCCCUUGGGUUCGGAAUAACUCCCCGAAAGGGAUCCUAAUGCCAGAUAAUGUCUUCGGACCAAAGAUUUAUGGCCUUGGGAUGGGCGCGCGUUAGAUUAGCUAGUUGGUAGGGUAAUAGCAUAGCAAGGGGAGGAUCCAUGGCUGGUCUGAGAGGAUGAUUAGCAACGCUGGGGAUGAGACACGGCCCAGAAUCCUACGCGAGGCAGCAGUGGGUAAUAUUGGACAAUGGGCGCAAGCCUGAUCAAGCAAUGCCGGGUGAGUGAUGAAGGGCUUAGGGUUGUAAAGCUCUUUUAGCCGGGAUGAUAAUGACGGUAACGGGUGAAUAAGCUCCGGCUAACUCCGUG